This is a non-coding RNA of Caenorhabditis elegans, 142 nucleotides long. The record is from Ensembl. NCBI's taxonomy places the organism in Eukaryota, Metazoa, Nematoda, Chromadorea, Rhabditida, Rhabditidae.
UAGAUUAUCGCUAAACGGAUAGUAAUAAGGAAUGAAAGGAAUACAAAAAUGUCCGGCACGGUGGUCAGUUCCCCGCUAUUUGUACCCAUAUAUUUAUAGAGAUUGACACCUGCAUUGUGCCCGGCGGCCGCGGCCACUUUUU